RNAcentral lists this long non-coding RNA (1254 nucleotides) under Astyanax mexicanus (Mexican tetra). RNAcentral describes it as "lncRNA (ENSAMXG00005024414.1)". Lineage: Eukaryota; Metazoa; Chordata; Actinopteri; Characiformes; Acestrorhamphidae. The record is from RNAcentral.
UUCAUAUGCAGCACCUCUGGGUCUCAAGUGUUUGUGUGUGUGUGUGCAUGGGAGUGCUUGCUUAGAUCACACUGAUCAACCAGACAAAGUUUGCCAUCAUUACCACAAUUACCACAGUCAUCUCAUCUUCAUCUUCACCAUCCUCAUCAUCACAAUCCUCCUCAUAGCCAUCACCAUCCUCAUCAUCACAAUCAGCCUUAUACCAUCUCCUCCACCCUCCUCUUUAUCACCAUUAUCCUCAUCACCACCAUCCUCUUCAGCAUCAGCAUUCCCACCACCAUCCUCUAUAUCAGUACCAUCAUCACUACUAAACUGUUAAACACAACCACUUUCAUUAUCCCCAUCACUACCGCCAUAUACUUCUUCAUCACCAUCAUCCUCAUCACUACCAUCCACUUUAGCAUCACCACCACCAUACCAUUCAUCAUCCCAUUCAUCACCACCACCCAUUUCAUCAUCACUUUCACCACACCACCCUGUUCAUCACCACAACCAUUUUCGUCACCAUCAUUACCAAUAAUAUCCUUUACCACAUCAUCAUUAACAAUAUCAUCUCCAUUAUUAUUACCACAGACUUCAUCAUUAACCUCUUUAUUUUCACCAUCCUCUUCAUCAUUAUCAAUACCAUUAUAUUUUCUUCAUUACAAUCAUCACCACCACCACUACUAUUAUUUUCAUCACCAUAAUUUCCAUCACCAUCAAUACCAACCUCUUAAUCACCAACACCAUCUUCUUUAUCAUCACCAUCAUCCUCUUUACAGCAACACCAUUAUUCAUUUUAUCAUCACCACAAUCUUAUUCAUUAUCACCACCACCACCCUCUUCAUCACCAUCCUCUUCUUCUUCACCACAACCAUUUUCUUUGUCAUGACCAUUAUCUUUAUCACCAUCACCACCAUACUCUUCUUCAUUACCACCACCCUCUUCAUCAUCAGGCCCUUCAUCACCACCACCCUCUUCAUCAUUAGGCCUUUCAUCACCAUUAUCCUCAUUAUUACAUUACUACCAUACUCUUCAUCACCAUAACUACGCUCAUUACCAGCAUCAACAUUGCAAUGCAUAAACAUCCUCAUCACCAACAUCCAUAGCCUCCCCAUCACCACCACUGUUCUCAUCACCACCAUCCUCUUCUUCAACAGGCCCUUCAUCACUAACAUCCUCUUAAUCACCAUAAUAAUUUUUAUCACCAUCAUCCACUUCAACAUUAUCACCUUCAUCAACACCACCCCCCUCCCCAUCGCCACCACAGUUCCC